Molecule: long non-coding RNA, 3511 nt
Organism: Vespa crabro (European hornet)
Lineage: Eukaryota; Metazoa; Arthropoda; Insecta; Hymenoptera; Vespidae
Exons: 4
Source: RefSeq, a predicted model, not a curated record
UCAGGUCACAAGGAUCGUUAGAUUAAAAAAUUUAUUACGUUUUUAAAAGAAGGGGAAAAAAAGGAGAAAAAAAAGAAGAAAAAAGUUAGAAACUCCAAAUUCUCUUGUCAAAAAUUGUAUCUCAAACGUUGAUUGUCACCUAUCAACAAUCGACGCGAGAAUCUAAUUAUUUCUAAUGCAUGUAAGAAAGUAUAUAACUUUCGUUUAUAUUAAAAUUUCUCGAAAUUUAUCGUCGUCAUUUAAUAAAAGCCACGUUCGUAUCGGCACUUUUUAAACAUCGUUCUUCUUGAUGAUCUAACUCUCGCCCCUAAUGUUUUCAUUACCAAACGAGCGAUAAAUAUGAAACUCAUUUUAUAGGUGAAAAGUGCGGGAAUAAGGAAAAAUAAGAGAUACGAUAAUAAUAUAUUAAAUAAUAAUUCUAACGACGAUCUCACCGAUCAACGAUGAUAGAUAAAUUUUGAUAAGAGAAAUAAGAAAAAAGGAAAAUGGAAAAGAAUUCGUAAUGAAUUAUAAUUAGAGAUAAAAAGAUUAGAUAAACAGAUUAAAGGAGAAAGAAGGAAAGAAAUGAAAGAAAAAAAAAAAGAAAAAAAAUGGUAAAACUAAUAUAUCGUAAAGAAUUAGAAAUUAGAUGUGUUAAACGUAAAGAGUUAGAAACUAAACACUGCGAUUUUAUAAUUCAGCCUUCCACGGACCAGCCGGGUUAUAAGACUGACUUGAUUUCGACUCGUAUGUCUUAUACAUACAUAGAGACAGAGAAAGAGAGAGAGAGAGAGAGCCAGACAAAAGAAAAAAAAAGAAAACAUCCACCACCUUUGUUCUCUCGACCUCUUGACCUUCUUAAUCAUUAAUCUCCUCUACGCACUCUUUUUAACUUCUACCCAACUUCUCAAGGUAGAACGAUAUCACUUGGCUUAUUCAGUUUGUGAUAUUGUAAAGUCAAUAGGGGAACAAAAAACAAAAAGAGAUAAAAAUAAAAAAUUAGGAAAACUCAUUCUCUCGAACAAUCGAAGAUACAUUAUAACAAAUUUCAAUAAUCUUCUUGUUUAUCUCUCAUAUAUAAAUACAUUUCUUUUUCUCUUUUCGUCGAAUGGAAUUAUCAAUUUUACACUAUCAUACAAAUUGUAACGACAAACAAAUUGUUACUCUUUUGUAUGAAGGAAAAAAUAAGAGUAAGAAAAAAAAGAAAGAUAAAAGGAUAAUAAAAAGAAAAAAAAAAUAAAAGAUAUAAGAUAAAAAAAAAAAAAAGAAAUAAUAAAAUAAGAUAAAUAAGAAGAAUGUAUGAAAUUUGAGUUGAGAAAUUGAUUUUAGUCGAUCGAUCGAAACCGACAAAAUGAUCGAUCAAUUUAAAUAUCUACGAUCUCUGGACACACCCUAUGUAAUAAUGAUUAUUUAUACAUGCAUGCACACAUACACACACACAUAUAUAAUAACUAAUACUUGUGAUUAUCUUAUAUCACAUGGGGGGUCACGGACAUAUCUAAAAAAAUCAAUUGCAUUUCUCGUACCGUUUCCUAUAAGUGUUAAUAAAACUCUACCUUCUUUUGCUUUACUUGUUUUUUACUUUUUCUGCCCCUUUUUUUCUUCCUUCGUCAUUGUCCAUAACAUUUAUCUUACAUUAUUAAGAUACACCAGGUGUUCUUCUUUCUAUAUUUUAUUCCGAAGGACAUUGAAUGACGUCAUGCACUAGAUACGCCCGAAUUAUCGACAAGUUUUAUCAAUUUUUAUGUAAUACAUGAUAUACGUAUAUAUACGAUAAAUGGAGAGAGAGAGAGAGAGAGAGAGAGAGAAAGAAAGAGAAGAUAUUAAGUAGAAAUACUUAGAUGAUAUGUUCAGUCUACGUUUGUGCAACGUUCGAGGCACAAUAACGUUGUUUAGAUUUUCUAUUCUUUUUUUUUUCUUUUUUCCCGAAAAUUUACACUCUCUCUCUUUCUCCUGUUCCGUAUUAAAACAUCGUUGAAAUGCAACUAAAAAAAUUUGUAAUCGUUAGUGUUUCGUUAGUAUGUAUUCGUGAAUGACGAUAAAGCACGAUUAAAUUUAAAACCGUUUCCGCCCACAUUUUCAUAAUGAAAAAUAAAAACAACGUGUUUCCAUUAGACAGUUAUAAUAGUGGAGUUAUAAAUCGAUGCAACUGCUGACUAAAAAAAAAAGUUUAUUAUAGACCUUUUCUAUAUAGAUUAAAAUCUAUUGUUACAAAUUAUGGGUCAAAAGUUUCUAGGUUUGUAAUUUUUAUGAAAAAAAAAAAAAAAAAAAAAGUUUGAAUAAAUAAAAAGAAAUUGAUUUUUAAUUAUCGUCUAGGUACAAUUUAAGCUUAUUUUGCAUAUUAAUAAGGUACAUCGAUAAAUUUGUUGCUUUUUUCUAUUUCACUUUAAAAAUGAAGAACGAAAAAGAAAUAAAUCGUUAAUAAAAACCUGCAUGAAAUAUUUUUGAAGCACGAUUUACGUUUUUACGUAUAGAAAAUAUUUUCCAAAUACAAUUUUCUGAUCGAGAAUGAAAAAUAAAUAUCUUUUUUCUUUUCUUUUUCUUUUUCUUCUCUCGAAAUAAAUCGAUUGUAAUAACGAAACUUAAAAAAAAUAUCUUUCGGGUUCGAUUUAGAUUUUUUACAUUUUCAAAUAUUUUCAAAACAAAUUCCUGAAGAGUUUUCUUUCGAUACGUUUCAAGGAGAAAGAAAAAAUACAUUUUCUUUUAUUCCAAGGAUUGUGUUUACAUUGAUACACUGAAUGGACGAUGGAUAAUCGAAAAUAUAAACAAAUCAAUCUUAUGAGUUGGAGGAGCUUCGGAACAUCGAUCAUUCUUGAAAAGGUCGUAUUUGUCGAUAUAUGUCGAUAUUCUCGAUGAUAAUAAGUCAACGAGAUUUCUUUGAAAGAUUUACUAUUUAUUAACUUCUCACAUAUAUCGAAGAAUAUAUAUAUAUAUAUAUAUAUAUAUAUAUAUAUAUAUGUGUAUGUUUCUUUAAUUUAAAAGAAGAUUAAAAGAAAAGAAAAAAAGAAGAGAGAAAACGUCAUUAGAAAAUGAAUUUGAGGAUUUGAAAAUGUCGACAAAAUUUCUAACUCUGUACGAAGCAUGAAUCUUAUGCGGUCGGCUAAGCGUAUGCAUUAUUUUUAGAAUUCACGCUCUGCGUUUAACGCAUGCACGUGGAUACAGCGUUUGUACAACGUUAUGGAGAAGAAGAAUAAGGGGAAUAAGAAUAAGAAUAAGAAGAAAAAGAAAACGAUAAAGAGAAACAAGAAGAGGAAGAAGAAGAAGAAGAAGAAGGAGGAGAAGAAGGAACAGUAAAAUAUAAGAAAAAUAACAGAAAAGAGACGAAUUGGGUAUAUACCUACUUAUGUAUGCGUUGACUUAACGAUAAGAAAGAAUGAAUACGAAAUACGAUAUCCCGAAUCUUAUAUACUUAUUCAGAUUUAUUCCAAAAAGAAAAAAAGGAGAAAGAAAAAAAAAGAACGAAAAAAAAAACAAAAAACCAAUUAGCAUACGAGCAAAAAAGAGAAUUAUCACGACAAUACAAUGGGAAGAA